RNAcentral lists this ribosomal RNA (530 nucleotides) under uncultured bacterium. Its description in RNAcentral is "bacterial SSU rRNA". It matches the Rfam family "Bacterial small subunit ribosomal RNA", at positions 355 to 896 of the family's 1533-position model. The record is from RNAcentral.
UGGGGAAUAUUGCACAAUGGGCGAAAGCCUGAUGCAGCGACGCCGCGUGAGGGAUGACGGCCUUCGGGUUGUAAACCUCUUUCGGCAGGGACGAAGCGAAAGUGACGGUACCUGCAGAAGAAGUCCCGGCUAACUACGUGCCAGCAGCCGCGGUAAUACAGAGGGUGCAAGCGUUAAUCGGAAUUACUGGGCGUAAAGCGCACGUAGGCGGCUUUAUAAGUCGGAUGUGAAAGCCCCGGGCUUAACCUGGGAAUGGCAUUCGAUACUGCAAAGCUAGAGUAUGGUAGAGGGAAGUGGAAUUUCCGGUGUAGCGGUGAAAUGCGUAGAUAUCGGAAGGAACACCAGUGGCGAAGGCGGCUUCCUGGACCAAUACUGACGCUGAGGUGCGAAAGCGUGGGUAGCAAACAGGAUUAGAUACCCUGGUAGUCCACGCCCUAAACUAUGUCAACUAGCCGUUGGGUUCAAUUCAGAGCUUAGUGGCGCAGCUAACGCGUUAAGUUGACCGCCUGGGGAGUACGGUCGCAAGGCUG